This 142-nucleotide non-coding RNA is filed under the name Fragilariopsis kerguelensis. Lineage: Eukaryota; Bacillariophyta; Bacillariophyceae; Bacillariales; Bacillariaceae. The record is from RNAcentral.
UAUAUAUAAUAAUACAUACCAUUGGUUGCAACAACAAUAACACAAAAGGUGCAAGACUAAUAUUUUUACUUUUUGUACUAUCAGUUGAAGUGAAAUACAAAGAGGAGGAGUAGUAAUCGAAAAUGAAUACUUUUAAGAUAAA